Molecule: ribosomal RNA, 126 nt
Filed under: Triticum aestivum (bread wheat)
Lineage: Eukaryota; Viridiplantae; Streptophyta; Magnoliopsida; Poales; Poaceae
Description: partial small subunit ribosomal RNA
Source: RNAcentral
AUUUUCGCAAUUUUUGUUAUAGCCCUUGCGGCUGCUGAAGCCGCUAUUGGACUAUCCAUUCUUUCUUCCAUCCAUCGUAAUAGGAAAUCCACUCGUAUCAAUCAUUCUAAUUUAUUGAAUAAUUAG